RNAcentral lists this long non-coding RNA (848 nucleotides) under Sorghum bicolor (sorghum). RNAcentral's name for it is "long non-coding RNA (SBIC_LNC012176)". Lineage: Eukaryota; Viridiplantae; Streptophyta; Magnoliopsida; Poales; Poaceae. The record is from RNAcentral.
CGCAAGCACAAGAGCAGUGUCCUCAUUUCCUCCCCUUCCACCUCCAGAAUGCCCCCUACAUUGUCCUCUCCUCCUCCUCUCUUUUCUCGACAUGCAACAGUAAUACAAUUCCUCCUUGAUCUCACCAUCAAUUACACAUGCAUAAUUGUCUUGAUGGAAAAACUCUCACUCCUUCACGGCUCCUACAUACUCACCUCCCUAACGCUCCUUCAUUUUGCAUGCAGAAAAUAAAAGCUGCACCUCUCAUAAUCUCCCUUAAUACUCCAUCCUUAAUUUCUUGAGUAAAGGGGUAGCAAACACCAGCUUUGCGCUCCACCCUCUCAGCAUGCAUGCAGGCAAGGGGAAGCUUUUAACCCCAACCCCUCCUCACCACACGACCAAGAGCAGAAGAGACUCCUCCUUUCUUUCCUCCUGCAAAGCCCAUGCAUGGUUGUCCCUUCUCAUCUCUCAUUCUCCUCCUUCGUCUCCACAAGAAUGGAACCCCCACACUGUCUCCAAUCAAACUUGCAACCCUGCUGUCCCCUCCCUGAUAUCUCUCUCCAAUGGCACAUCAAAGUUCCAUCAAUGGCUUCCAUUCCUUUUCCCUUUGUCUCUUGUCAUCAUCUGGAUGAAAACACGAAGCCCUGCUGCUGCAAUCCAUUUGUGCCGCUGCGUUCUUCAUCCUAGAGCUUGAGCACGCAAAUGGAGAAAGCCACCACCACUACAUCUUUUCUGCAAAAUAAGGUGAUGUCGUGAACUCUUCUUUGAUUCAACCUUACUGCCCCUCUCCCAUGUCUCACUCAAUUCUCUUUUGCACAUCAUGAGGACAUCCUCAAGGUUGAAUCGUUGCAGCCCCAUCUGAACCGAUG